Molecule: ribosomal RNA, 465 nt
Filed under: uncultured Klebsiella sp.
Lineage: Bacteria; Pseudomonadati; Pseudomonadota; Gammaproteobacteria; Enterobacterales; Enterobacteriaceae
Description: bacterial SSU rRNA
Rfam family: Bacterial small subunit ribosomal RNA
Source: RNAcentral
CCUACGGGCGGCAGCAGUGGGGAAUAUUGCACAAUGGGCGCAAGCCUGAUGCAGCCAUGUCGCGUGUGUGAAGAAGGCCUUCGGGUUGUAAAGCACUUUCAGCGGGGAGGAAGGCGUUAAGGUUAAUAACCUUGUCGAUUGACGUUACCCGCAGAAGAAGCACCGGCUAACUCCGUGCCAGCAGCCGCGGUAAUACGGAGGGUGCAAGCGUUAAUCGGAAUUACUGGGCGUAAAGCGCACGCAGGCGGUCUGUCAAGUCGGAUGUGAAAUCCCCGGGCUCAACCUGGGAACUGCAUUCGAAACUGGCAGGCUAGAGUCUUGUAGAGGGGGGUAGAAUUCCAGGUGUAGCGGUGAAAUGCGUAGAGAUCUGGAGGAAUACCGGUGGCGAAGGCGGCCCCCUGGACAAAGACUGACGCUCAGGUGCGAAAGCGUGGGGAGCAAACAGGAUUAGAUACCCUUGUAGUC